Molecule: ribosomal RNA, 490 nt
Filed under: uncultured bacterium
Lineage: Bacteria
Description: partial 16S ribosomal RNA
Rfam family: Bacterial small subunit ribosomal RNA
Source: RNAcentral
AUUGAACGCUGGCGGCAGGCCUAACACAUGCAAGUCGAACGGUAACAGGAAGAAGCUUGCUUCUUUGCUGACGAGUGGCGGACGGGUGAGUAAUGUCUGGGAAACUGCCUGAUGGAGGGGGAUAACUACUGGAAACGGUAGCUAAUACCGCAUAACGUCGCAAGCCCAAAGAGGGGGACUUUCGGGCCUCUUGCCAUCGGAUUUGCCCAGAUGGGAUUAGCUUGUUGGUGGGGUAACGGCUCACCAAGGCGACGAUCCCUAGCUGGUCUGAGAGGAUGACCAGCCACACUGGAACUGAGACACGGUCCAGACUCCUACGGGAGGCAGCAGUGGGGAAUAUUGCACAAUGGGCGCAAGCCUGAUGCAGCCAUGCCGCGUGUAUGAAGAAGGCCUUCGGGUUGUAAAGUACUUUCAGCGGGGAGGAAGGGAGUAAAGUUAAUACCUUUGCUCAUUGACGUUACCCGCAGAAGAAGCACCGGCUAACUCCGUG